CGUAGGGGGCGAGCGUUGUCCGGAAUUAUUGGGCGUAAAGAGCGUGUAGGCGGUUCGGUAAGUCUGCCGUGAAAACCUGGGGCUCAACCCCAGGCGUGCGGUGGAUACUGUCGGGCUAGAGGGUGGUAGAGGCGAGUGGAAUUCCCGGUGUAGCGGUGAAAUGCGCAGAUAUCGGGAGGAACACCAGUAGCGAAGGCGGCUCGCUGGGCCAUACCUGACGCUGAGACGCGAAAGCGUGGGGAGCAAACAGGAUUAGAUACCCUGGUAGUCCACGCCGUAAACGAUGAACACUAGGUGUGGGCGGAGUCGAAUCUGUCCGUGCCGCAGCCAACGCGUUAAGUGUUCCGCCUGGGGAGUACGGCCGCAAGGCUA
RNAcentral lists this ribosomal RNA (372 nucleotides) under uncultured organism. RNAcentral's name for it is "bacterial SSU rRNA". It matches the Rfam family "Bacterial small subunit ribosomal RNA", at positions 526 to 896 of the family's 1533-position model. The record is from RNAcentral.